This 892-nucleotide ribosomal RNA is filed under the name uncultured bacterium. RNAcentral's name for it is "bacterial SSU rRNA". It matches the Rfam family "Bacterial small subunit ribosomal RNA", at positions 88 to 955 of the family's 1533-position model. The record is from RNAcentral.
UUGUAAAGUGGCGCACGGGUGAAUAACACGUGGGUAAUCUGCCCUUGAGUUUAAGAUAACCCCGCGAAAGCGGGGCUAAUACCGAAUAAGACCACGGAGACCAAAGUCUCUGAGGUAAAAGGUGGCCUCUAUUUAUAAGCUACCACUUGAGGAUGAGCCCGCGGCCCAUUAGCUAGUUGGCGGGGUAAUGGCCCACCAAGGCUAUGAUGGGUAGCUGGUCUGAGAGGACGAUCAGCCACACUGGAACUGAGACACGGUCCAGACUCCUACGGGAGACAGCAGUGGGGAAUAUUGCGCAAUGGGCGAAAGCCUGACGCAGCAACGCCGCGUGGGGGAUGAAGGUUUUCGGAUUGUAAACCCCUUUCGAUCGGAACGAAUCUCCUCCUGGUAAAUAAUCAGGAGGAUCGACGGUACCGAGAGAAGAAGCCACGGCUAACUCUGUGCCAGCAGCCGCGGUAAGACAGAGGUGGCGAGCGUUGUUCGGAUUUAUUGGGCGUAAAGCGAACGCAGGUGGUUUAGUAAGUCAGGGGUGAAAUUCCGCAGCUUAACUGCGGCAUUGCCUUUGAUACUGCCUUUCUUGAGUGCAUGAGGGGGAAACGGAAUUCCGAGUGUAGAGGUGAAAUUCGUAGAUAUUCGGAGGAACACCGGUGGCGAAGGCGGCUUCCUGGCAUGUAACUGACACUCAUGUUCAAAAGCGUGGAUAGCAAACAGGAUUAGAUACCCUGGUAGUCCACGCCCUAAACGAUGGGCACUAGGUGUGGGAGGUAUCGACCCCUUCCGUGCCGCAGCUAACGCAUUAAGUGCCCCGCCUGGGGAGUACGGCCGCAAGGUUGAAACUCAAAGGAAUUGACGGGGGCCCGCACAAGCGGUGGUGCAUGUGGUUUAAUUCGAC